GUGGGGAAUCUUGCACAAUGGGCGAAAGCCUGAUGCAGCCAUGCCGCGUGAAUGAUGAAGGCCUUAGGGUUGUAAAAUUCUUUCGUCAGGGAUGAUAAUGACCGUACCUGAAGAAGAAGCCCCGGCUAACUUCGUGCCAGCAGCCGCGGUAAUACGAAGGGGGCUAGCGUUGUUCGGAAUUACUGGGCGUAAAGCGCACGUAGGCGGACUUUUAAGUCAGGUGUGAAAUCCCGGGGCUCAACCUCGGAACUGCAUUUGAAACUGGAAGUCUUGAGAUCAGGAGAGGUUAGCGGAAUACCGAGUGUAGAGGUGAAAUUCGUAGAUAUUCGGUGGAACACCAGUGGCGAAGGCGGCUAACUGGACUGAUACUGACGCUGAGGUGCGAAAGUGUGGGGAGCAAACAGGAUUAGAAACCCCAGUAGUCC
This 425-nucleotide ribosomal RNA is filed under the name uncultured bacterium. Its description in RNAcentral is "partial 16S ribosomal RNA". It matches the Rfam family "Bacterial small subunit ribosomal RNA", at positions 354 to 796 of the family's 1533-position model. The record is from RNAcentral.